UACGGAGGGUGCAAGCGUUAUCCGGAUUUACUGGGUUUAAAGGGUGCGUAGGUGGAUAGGUAAGUCAGUGGUGAAAUCUUCAAGCUUAACUUGGAAACUGCCAUUGAUACUAUUUAUCUUGAAUACUUUGGAGGUAAGCGGAAUAUGUCAUGUAGCGGUGAAAUGCUUAGAUAUGACAUAGAACACCAAUUGCGAAGGCAGCUUACUACACAGUUAUUGACACUGAGGCACGAAAGCGUGGGGAUCAAACAGG
RNAcentral lists this ribosomal RNA (253 nucleotides) under uncultured bacterium. RNAcentral describes it as "partial 16S ribosomal RNA". It matches the Rfam family "Bacterial small subunit ribosomal RNA", at positions 524 to 776 of the family's 1533-position model. The record is from RNAcentral.